GACGAACCGUGCGAACGUUGUUCGGAAUCACUGGGCUUAAAGGGCGCGUAGGCGGGCUGUCAAGUCCGGGGUGAAAUCCUCCAGCUUAACUGGAGAACGGCCUCGGAUACUGACGAUCUCGAGGGGGAUAGGGGCACGCGGAACUGUGGGUGGAGCGGUGAAAUGCGUUGAUAUCCAUAGGAACUCCGGUGGCGAAGGCGGCGUGCUGGAUCCCUUCUGACGCUGAGGCGCGAAAGCCAGGGGAGCAAACGGG
This 253-nucleotide ribosomal RNA is filed under the name uncultured bacterium. RNAcentral's name for it is "partial 16S ribosomal RNA". It matches the Rfam family "Bacterial small subunit ribosomal RNA", at positions 524 to 776 of the family's 1533-position model. The record is from RNAcentral.